Molecule: ribosomal RNA, 492 nt
Filed under: uncultured bacterium
Lineage: Bacteria
Description: partial 16S ribosomal RNA
Rfam family: Bacterial small subunit ribosomal RNA
Source: RNAcentral
AGUGAACGCUGGCGGUAGGCCUAACACAUGCAAGUCGAACGGCAGCACAGUAAGAGCUUGCUCUUACGGGUGGCGAGUGGCGGACGGGUGAGGAAUACAUCGGAAUCUACUUUUUCGUGGGGGAUAACGUAGGGAAACUUACGCUAAUACCGCAUACGACCUACGGGUGAAAGCAGGGGAUCUUCGGACCUUGCGCAAUUGAUUGAGCCGAUGUCGGAUUAGCUAGUUGGCGGGGUAAAGGCCCACCAAGGCGACGAUCCGUAGCUGGUCUGAGAGGAUGAUCAGCCACACUGGAACUGAGACACGGUCCAGACUCCUACGGGAGGCAGCAGUGGGGAAUAUUGGACAAUGGGCGCAAGCCUGAUCCAGCCAUACCGCGUGGGUGAAGAAGGCCUUCGGGUUGUAAAGCCCUUUUGUUGGGAAAGAAAAGCAGCAGGUUAAUACCCCGCUGUUCUGACGGUACCCAAAGAAUAAGCACCGGCUAACUUCGUG